Molecule: ribosomal RNA, 228 nt
Filed under: Mesorhizobium sp.
Lineage: Bacteria; Pseudomonadati; Pseudomonadota; Alphaproteobacteria; Hyphomicrobiales; Phyllobacteriaceae
Description: partial 23S ribosomal RNA
Rfam family: Bacterial large subunit ribosomal RNA
Source: RNAcentral
CUAAGUGGAAAACCAUGUGGAAAGGCACAGACAGCCAGGAGGUUGGCUUAGAAGCAGCCACCCUUUAAAGAAAGCGUAAUAGCUCACUGGUCGAGUCGGUCUGCGGGGAAGAUUUAACGGGGCUAAGCAGUGAACCGAAGCUUGGGGUGCAUACUUUGUAUGCGCGGUAGAGGAGCGUUCCGUAAGCCGUUGAAGGUGGAUUGAGAAGUCUGCUGGAGGUAUCGGAAG